This 220-nucleotide ribosomal RNA is filed under the name Gnamptogenys horni. RNAcentral describes it as "partial large subunit ribosomal RNA". Lineage: Eukaryota; Metazoa; Arthropoda; Insecta; Hymenoptera; Formicidae. The record is from RNAcentral.
GAAUUUUAUAUAAUAAUUAAGAUUGAUUUUUAAGUUUUAAAGAAGUUAAUUUUGAUUUAUAUUUAAUUGGGAGGAUUAUUAAAUUUUAGGAACUUUAAUUUUUAAUUUACAUUAAUUUAUGGAAUUAGAUAAAUUAGGUUAAAUUAUGGUAAAAAAAUUAAUUACCUUAGGGAUAACAGCGUAAUAUUUUUAGAGAGAUCAUAUUGAUAAAAGUGUUUGC